AUUCACAGGCCCAUUGAUUUCCCUUUCUUAAUUAACACAAGGCUCCCGAAGGCUAAUCUGAAGUUUCACACAUGAAUCUGCAAGUAUGUAAAGACAUACAUUCUCUCCAAGAACCAGAAUGAGAAUCUGCAAAGCUGAAGAGAAAACAUCCCGUCAUCUCUGUACUUGUGAUGCCUGAGAAGGAGCAAGUAUUUCACGAAUGUUUGUGGAGUAAAGAAAAAUUAUCAAGUCCUUUGAGAAAUGACUGCAGGAGAGGUAGGAGCAAUCGUUACUUUCUCCUGGGAGCCUGGAAGCUGCCUUGCCCCCACACUUCCCCUGUGUACUCCUCUUCACUUCUCACUGUGAAAAGGCAAAAUAAAAUGGAGAAGGAAAAGUGGAUGAGUGGAAGGUAA
RNAcentral lists this long non-coding RNA (392 nucleotides) under Pan troglodytes (chimpanzee). RNAcentral describes it as "lncRNA (ENSPTRG00000054656.1)". Lineage: Eukaryota; Metazoa; Chordata; Mammalia; Primates; Hominidae. The record is from RNAcentral.